This 497-nucleotide ribosomal RNA is filed under the name uncultured bacterium. Its description in RNAcentral is "partial 16S ribosomal RNA". It matches the Rfam family "Bacterial small subunit ribosomal RNA", at positions 28 to 507 of the family's 1533-position model. The record is from RNAcentral.
GAUGAACGCUGGCGGCGUGCCUAAUACAUGCAAGUCGAGCGAACGGACGAGAAGCUUGCUUUUCUGAUGUUAGCGGCGGACGGGUGAGUAACACGUGGAUAACCUACCUAUAAGACUGGGAUAACUUCGGGAAACCGGAGCUAAUACCGGAUAAUAUUUUGAACCGCAUGGUUCAAAAGUGAAAGACGGUCUUGCUUUCACUUAUAGAUGGAUCCGCGCUGCAUUAGCUAGUUGGUAAGGUAACGGCUUACCAAGGCAACGAUGCAUAGCCGACCUGAGAGGGUGAUCGGCCACACUGGAACUGAGACACGGUCCAGACUCCUACGGGAGGCAGCAGUAGGGAAUCUUCCGCAAUGGGCGAAAGCCUGACGGAGCAACGCCGCGUGAGUGAUGAAGGUCUUCGGAUCGUAAAACUCUGUUAUUAGGGAAGAACAUAUGUGUAAGUAACUGUGCACAUCUUGACGGUACCUAAUCAGAAAGCCACGGCUAACUACGUG